AGAGUUAGAUCCUGGCUCAGGACGAACGCUGGCGGCGCGCCUAACACAUGCAAGUCGAACGGAGCUGAGAGGAGCUUGCUUUUCUUAGCUUAGUGGCGAACGGGUGAGUAACGCGUGAGUAACCUGCCCUGGAGUGGGGGACAACAGUUGGAAACGACUGCUAAUACCGCAUAAGCCCACGAUCCGGCAUCGGAUUGAGGGAAAAGGAUUUAUUCGCUUCAGGAUGGACUCGCGUCCAAUUAGCUAGUUGGUGAGGUAACGGCCCACCAAGGCGACGAUUGGUAGCCGGACUGAGAGGUUGAACGGCCACAUUGGGACUGAGACACGGCCCAGACUCCUACGGGAGGCAGCAGUGGGGGAUAUUGCACAAUGGGGGAAACCCUGAUGCAGCGACGCCGCGUGGAGGAAGAAGGUUUUCGGAUUGUAAACUCCUGUCGUUAGGGACGAUAAUGACGGUACCUAACAAGAAAGCACCGGCUAACUACGUGCCAGCAGCCGCGGUAAAACGUAGGGUGCAAGCGUUGUCCGGAAUUACUGGGUGUAAAGGGAGCGCAGGCGGACCGGCAAGUUGGAGGUGAAAACUAUGGGCUCAACCCAUAAAUUGCUUUCAAAACUGCUGGCCUUGAGUAGUGCAGAGGUAGGUGGAAUUCCCGGUGUAGCGGUGGAAUGCGUAGAUAUCGGGAGGAACACCAGUGGCGAAGGCGACCUACUGGGCACCAACUGACGCUGAGGCUCGAAAGCAUGGGUAGCAAACAGGAUUAGAUACCCUGGUAGUCCAUGCCGUAAACGAUGAUUACUAGGUGUUGGAGGAUUGACCCCUUCAGUGCCGCAGUUAACACAAUAAGUAAUCCACCUGGGGAGUACGACCGCAAGGUUGAAGCUCAAAGGAAUUGACGGGGGCCCGCACAAGCAGUGGAGUAUGUGGUUUAAUCCGAAGCAACGCGAAGAACCUUACCAGGUCUUGACAUCCGAUGCAUAGUGCAGAGAUGCAUGAAGUCCUUCGGGACAUCGAGACAGGUGGUGCAUGGUUGUCGUCAGCUCGUGUCGUGAGAUGUUGGGUUAAGUCCCGCAACGAGCGCAACCCUUAUUGCCAGUUACUACGAAAGAGGACUCUGGCGAGACUGCCGUUGACAAAACGGAGGAAGGUGGGGAUGACGUCAAAUCAUCAUGCCCUUUAUGACCUGGGCUACACACGUACUACAAUGGCGUUUAACAAAGAGAAGCAAGACCGCGAGGU
RNAcentral lists this ribosomal RNA (1237 nucleotides) under metagenome. Its description in RNAcentral is "bacterial SSU rRNA". It matches the Rfam family "Bacterial small subunit ribosomal RNA", at positions 8 to 1263 of the family's 1533-position model. The record is from RNAcentral.